UGGAGAAAAUUUAUUCACCUUCAGAGACAUAUGCAGAAAUUAAAGUAAAUGAAGUAGAAGGAAGAUAGGAUGAGGAAGUUACAAAAAAGUUAAAGUAUGG
Non-coding RNA from Chelonoidis abingdonii (Abingdon island giant tortoise), 100 nucleotides. The record is from RefSeq and is a predicted model, not a curated record. Lineage: Eukaryota; Metazoa; Chordata; Testudines; Testudinidae.